This 253-nucleotide ribosomal RNA is filed under the name uncultured bacterium. Its description in RNAcentral is "partial 16S ribosomal RNA". It matches the Rfam family "Bacterial small subunit ribosomal RNA", at positions 524 to 776 of the family's 1533-position model. The record is from RNAcentral.
UACGAAGGGGGCUAGCGUUGCCCGGAAUUACUGGGCGUAAAGGGUGCGUAGGCGGCUCUUUAAGUCAGGGGUGAAAUCCUGGAGCUCAACUCCAGAACUGCCUUUGAUACUGAAGAUCUUGAGUUCGGGAGAGGUGAGUGGAACUGCGAGUGUAGAGGUGAAAUUCGUAGAUAUUCGCAAGAACACCAGUGGCGAAGGCGGCUCACUGGCCCGAUACUGACGCUGAGGCACGAAAGCGUGGGGAGCAAACAGG